RNAcentral lists this ribosomal RNA (483 nucleotides) under uncultured bacterium. RNAcentral describes it as "partial 16S ribosomal RNA". It matches the Rfam family "Bacterial small subunit ribosomal RNA", at positions 28 to 507 of the family's 1533-position model. The record is from RNAcentral.
GACGAACGCUGGCGGCGUGCUUAACACAUGCAAGUCGAACGAUGAAGCGGGUGCUUGCACUCGUGGAUUAGUGGCGAACGGGCGAGUAACACGUGAGUAACCUGUCCUUUUCUUUGGGAUAACGGCUGGAAACGGCUGCUAAUACUGGAUAUUCAGGCUGCAUCGCAUGGUGUGGUUUGGAAAGGUUUUUUCUGGGAUUGGGUGGGCUCGCGGCCUAUCAGCUUGUUGGUGGGGUGAUGGCUUACCAAGGCUUUGACGGGUAGCCGGCCUGAGAGGGUGGUCGGUCGCACUGGGACUGAGAUACGGCCCAGACUCCUACGGGAGGCAGCAGUGGGGAAUAUGGCACAAUGGACGAAAGUUUGAUGCAGCGACGCCGCGUGGAGGGUGUAGGCCUUCGGGUUGUGAACUCCUUUUUCUCGCGAAAAAGGCACAGUUUUGGCUGUGUUGAUGGUAGUGGGGGAAGAAGCGCCGGCUAACUACGUG